CGCUAAGGCGUUGAAGCAGUGUACGUCAGACUUCCAAGAAAAGCUCGCAAUGUCAUAGAUAAAAAAUGCCUGUACCAUAACCGACACAGGUGGGUAGGUAGAGUAUACUAAGGGGCGCGAGAUAACUCUCUCUAAGGAACUCGGCAAAAUGACUCCGUAACUUCGGGAGAAGGAGUGCCUUAUUUAUAAGGUUGCAAUAACAAGAUCCAAGCAACUGUUUAUCAAAAACACAGGUCUCCGCUAAGUCGUAAGACGAUGUAUGGGGGCUGACGCCUGCCCAGUGCCAGAAGGUUAAAGAAGUUGGUUAGUGUAUGCGAAGCUGAUGACUAAAGCCCUGGUGAACGGCGGCCGUAACGAUAACGGUCCUAAGGUAGCGAAAUUCCUUGUCGGGUAAGUUCCGACCCGCACGAAAGGCGUAAUGAUUUGGAUACUGUCUCGGAGAGAGGCUCGGUGAAAUAGACUUGUCUGUGAAGAUGCGGACUACCUGCACCAGGACAGAAAGACCCUAUGAAGCUUUACUGUAACUUGAAAUUGGAAUUGGACUUUGCUUGCGCAGUAUAGGUGGGAAGCGUUGAAGAUAUUCUUGCGGGAGUAUUGGAGCUAUCAGUGAGAUACCACUCUUGUAAUGUUAGAUUUCUAACUUUGAACCAUAAUCUGGUCAAAGAACAGUUUCAGGUGGGCAGUUUGACUGGGGCGGUCGCCUCCCAAAUGGUAACGGAGGCGUACAAAGGUUUCCUCUGAACGGAUAGAAAUCGUAUCUAGAGUGUAAAGGCAUAAGGAAGCUUGACUGUGAGACCUACAAGUCGAGCAGGGACGAAAGUCGGUCUUAGUGAUCUGACGGUACUGAGUGGAAAGGCCGUCACUCAACGGAUAAAAGUUACUCUAGGAUAACAGGCUGAUCUCCCCCAAGAGUUCACAUCGACGGGGAGGUUUGGCACCUCGAUGUCGGCUCAUCGCAUCCUGGGGCGGUAGUACGUCCCAAGGGUUGGGCUGUUCGCCCAUGAAAGCGGUACGCGAGCUGGGUUCAGAACGUCGUGAGACAGUUCGGUCCAUAUCCGGUGUAGGCGUUAGAAUAUUGAGAGGAGCCUUCUUUAGUACGAGAGGACCGAGAAGGACACACCGCUGGUGUACCAGUUAUCGUGCCAACGGUAAACGCUGGGUAGCUAUGUGUGGAGUGGAUAACCGCUGAAAGCAUCUAAGUGGGAAGCCCACCUCAAGAUGAGUAUUCUCAUCACUAUGAGUGAGUAAGGUCACGGUAAGACUAACCGUUUGAUAGGCAUUAAGUGUAAAUGUAGUAAUGCAUGUGCUGAGAUGUCCUAACAGACCGAGGACUU
Molecule: ribosomal RNA, 1334 nt
Filed under: metagenome
Description: bacterial LSU rRNA
Rfam family: Bacterial large subunit ribosomal RNA
Source: RNAcentral